AGUCUUAUAAUCAAAAAUUUAUGAUAUUAAAUUGCAAAUUUAAAGGUGGGCUCCCCUAAGGCUU
This 64-nucleotide transfer RNA is filed under the name Medon piceus. Its description in RNAcentral is "tRNA-Cys". The record is from RNAcentral. Lineage: Eukaryota; Metazoa; Arthropoda; Insecta; Coleoptera; Staphylinidae.